GCAAGGCACAGGGGACAUUACAGGAGUUUUGAAACAAAACCUUCCCAACUGAAUGAUUCCUGACAACAGUUUGUAAUUAAUUAGCCAUAGUCACUUGACUAUCCACAUAACUAAAAAAUCUGCUUGUUGCUUGGAACAGGGUAAGUACAGAAAAUCAAUGUUUCCAAGAUUUUGGUCUCGAAGGCCAAAGGCCCCGAGUAUUACUAAAAUUAGAAUCUCUCUUAAAAUAUACAAAGACUCAAUGAAGGAAUAUUCCUAUUAGCCAACAAUAUCCAUCUAAAAUCCCUAGAAUUAGAAAUUUCAUUAUUUCACAUUAAAAUGUUUAAUGAAGCAUCUAAUUUAAUCUAUCAUCUAAUGCUUAGAAAAUUGCUCCCUGAGUGACAGGAAAAAGAAAAACAAAUGCUGUUCUAAUCCUUGAGACUGAGUUAGGAAGCAAAUUCCAGCAUGUAAUAAGAUAAUCCCAUGAAUACAACCCACUCUUCAAUUUUCACAUAUUUCUUUUAGUGAAAGAAUAAAUAGCAAGCAAAGACUGAUAAUUUCUUUCUAAUUGACUACAUAAUAUACCUAUACAUGCUGAUACUCACUAAGAAUGUUGUGGCGUCUACGAAAAUAGUGUGAAUGACUCGAGUGCUGGCACAGCCAUUUCUACAGUGUUCACUCCUCUGACGCUGGUACCCCAAAGCCUGAUUACUAGGUGUUUGAAGGCUGUCAGCCAUGCACUUAAAUCAUUGUCAUGUAAUUCCCGAAGAUAUAUAGGCCUCUGUACAAUUCAUCUGCUCUAACAUAUGCAAGUGGGUUCGUUUUGGUACCAGUUCCUGACCAAACUGAACGCCCUCCACGGGUUUGCCUGGUAUGGUCCCUGUGCUGGACCUCAGCUCACAGAAGUGUCUUGGUCACUCAUUUUGUUCAGAUUUCCAAGGUUUCCAUUUUUUUAAGUCAUCAUCGAUCC
Molecule: long non-coding RNA, 949 nt
Organism: Homo sapiens (human)
Lineage: Eukaryota; Metazoa; Chordata; Mammalia; Primates; Hominidae
Source: Ensembl